GGUUAGCUCAAUCGGUAGAGCGUGAGACUCUUAAUCUCAAGGUUGCGGGUUCGGUUAGUUCUUCCCCACAUAUCCG
Molecule: transfer RNA, 76 nt
Filed under: Pseudopyrenochaeta lycopersici CRA-PAV_ER 1211
Lineage: Eukaryota; Fungi; Ascomycota; Dothideomycetes; Pleosporales; Pseudopyrenochaetaceae
Description: tRNA-Lys (CTT) (tRNA-Lys-CTT-3-1)
Rfam family: tRNA (bases 3-70)
About the family: Transfer RNA (tRNA) molecules are approximately 80 nucleotides in length.
Source: RNAcentral